AAAUUGAAGAGUUUGAUCAUGGCUCAGAUUGAACGCUGGCGGCAGGCCUAACACAUGCAAGUCGAACGGUAACAGGAAGCAGCUUGAUGCUUUGCUGACGAGUGGCGGACGGGUGAGGAAUGUCUGGGAAACUGCCUGAUGGAGGGGGAUAACUACUGGUAACGGUAGCUAGUACCGCAUAACGUCGCAAGACCAAAGAGGGGGACCUUCGGGCCU
Molecule: ribosomal RNA, 216 nt
Filed under: Escherichia coli
Lineage: Bacteria; Pseudomonadati; Pseudomonadota; Gammaproteobacteria; Enterobacterales; Enterobacteriaceae
Description: partial 16S ribosomal RNA
Rfam family: Bacterial small subunit ribosomal RNA
Source: RNAcentral